Molecule: long non-coding RNA, 256 nt
Organism: Branchiostoma floridae (Florida lancelet)
Lineage: Eukaryota; Metazoa; Chordata; Leptocardii; Amphioxiformes; Branchiostomatidae
Exons: 2
Source: RefSeq, a predicted model, not a curated record
GUGGACAAGUGGGUGAUUGAAGAGGUGGAUAUUCCUCUUCAGUACGAAAUGCGGUUGGAGUGUGGUGUGAUGGUAGUGCUUCCUGAAGCCUUGGCUGCAAUCUACCAGCUGCACAAAGGCACAGCCAGCCUACAAGAGGCUAGGGAUUGUGUCCGGAAAGCAGGAGUUCGUGAUUAGUUCGUGGGAGUAGACUAGAGUUGAACUUAGACCUGUUACUGGUCUGUAAGAUAAUACUAUUUUCUGUCUAGUGCUGUUU